RNAcentral lists this ribosomal RNA (260 nucleotides) under uncultured bacterium. RNAcentral describes it as "partial small subunit ribosomal RNA". It matches the Rfam family "Bacterial small subunit ribosomal RNA", at positions 26 to 287 of the family's 1533-position model. The record is from RNAcentral.
AGGACGAACGCUGGCGGCGUGCCUAACACAUGCAAGUCGAACGGGACUAGGGGCAACUCUGGUUCAGUGGCGGACGGGUGCGUAACACGUGAGGAACAUGACCUUCGGCGGGGGAUAGCCGGCCCAACGGCCGGGUAAUACCGCGUACGACCACUCUGGGACAUCCCUAGGUGGUGAAAGCAGCAAUGCGCCGAUGGAGUGCCUCGCGGCCUAUCAGCUAGUUGGUGAGGUAACGGCUCACCAAGGCGACGACGGGUAGC